RNAcentral lists this ribosomal RNA (852 nucleotides) under uncultured Acinetobacter sp. RNAcentral describes it as "bacterial SSU rRNA". It matches the Rfam family "Bacterial small subunit ribosomal RNA", at positions 71 to 916 of the family's 1533-position model. The record is from RNAcentral. Lineage: Bacteria; Pseudomonadati; Pseudomonadota; Gammaproteobacteria; Moraxellales; Moraxellaceae.
GAGAUUGCUUCGGUAAUUGACCUAGCGGCGGACGGGUGAGUAAUACUUAGGAAUCUGCCUAUUAAUGGGGGACAACAUCUCGAAAGGGAUGCUAAUACCGCAUACGCCCUACGGGGGAAAGCAGGGGAUCACUUGUGACCUUGCGUUAAUAGAUGAGCCUAAGUCGGAUUAGCUAGUUGGUGGGGUAAAGGCCUACCAAGGCGACGAUCUGUAGCGGGUCUGAGAGGAUGAUCCGCCACACUGGGACUGAGACACGGCCCAGACUCCUACGGGAGGCAGCAGUGGGGAAUAUUGGACAAUGGGGGGAACCCUGAUCCAGCCAUGCCGCGUGUGUGAAGAAGGCCUUAUGGUUGUAAAGCACUUUAAGCGAGGAGGAGGCUCUUUUGGUUAAUACCCAAGAUGAGUGGACGUUACUCGCAGAAUAAGCACCGGCUAACUCUGUGCCAGCAGCCGCGGUAAUACAGAGGGUGCGAGCGUUAAUCGGAUUUACUGGGCGUAAAGCGUGCGUAGGCGGCUUUUUAAGUCGGUUGUGAAAUCCCCGAGCUUAACUUGGGAAUUGCAUUCGAUACUGGGAAGCUAGAGUAUGGGAGAGGAUGGUAGAAUUCCAGGUGUAGCGGUGAAAUGCGUAGAGAUCUGGAGGAAUACCGAUGGCGAAGGCAGCCAUCUGGCCUAAUACUGACGCUGAGGUACGAAAGCAUGGGGAGCAAACAGGAUUAGAUACCCUGGUAGUCCAUGCCGUAAACGAUGUCUACUGGCCGUUGGGGUCUUUGAGACUUUAGUGGCGCAGCUAACGCGAUAAGUAGACCGCCUGGGGAGUACGGUCGCAAGACUAAAACUCAAAUGAAUUGACGG